Molecule: ribosomal RNA, 484 nt
Filed under: uncultured bacterium
Lineage: Bacteria
Description: partial 16S ribosomal RNA
Rfam family: Bacterial small subunit ribosomal RNA
Source: RNAcentral
AUUGAACGCUGGCGGAAUGCUUUACACAUGCAAGUCGAGCGGCAGCGCGGCCUUCGGGCUGGCGGCGAGCGGCGAACGGGUGAGUAAUGCAUCGGAACAUGCCCAGUCGUGGGGGAUAACACUUCGAAAGAAGUGCUAAUACCGCAUACGUCCUGAGGGGGAAAGCGGGGGAUCGCAAGACCUCGCGCGAUUGGAGUGGCCGAUGUCAGAUUAGCUAGUUGGUGGGGUAAAGGCCUACCAAGGCGACGAUCUGUAGCUGGUCUGAGAGGAUGAUCAGCCACACUGGGACUGAGACACGGCCCAGAAUCCUACGGGAGGCAGCAGUGGGGAAUUUUGGACAAUGGGGGCAACCCUGAUCCAGCCAUUCCGCGUGAGUGAAGAAGGCCUUCGGGUUGUAAAGCUCUUUCGGCAGGAACGAAACGGUGGGCUCUAACAUAGUCCGCUAAUGACGGUACCUGAAGAAGAAGCACCGGCUAACUACGUG